This 85-nucleotide transfer RNA is filed under the name Candidatus Saccharimonadota bacterium. Its description in RNAcentral is "tRNA-Leu". It matches the Rfam family "tRNA". From Rfam's summary of the family: Transfer RNA (tRNA) molecules are approximately 80 nucleotides in length. The record is from RNAcentral. Lineage: Bacteria; Candidatus Saccharimonadota.
GCGGAUGUGGUGAAAUUGGUAUACACGUAUGCCUUAGGAGCAUAUGCCGCAAGGCGUGAAGGUUCAAGUCCUUUCAUCCGCACCA